GGGUCAGUAGCUCAGUGGUAGAGCCACCGCUUCGCAUGCGGGAAGGCCUGCGUUCGAUUCCCGGCUGUCUCC
Molecule: transfer RNA, 72 nt
Filed under: Toxocara canis (dog roundworm)
Lineage: Eukaryota; Metazoa; Nematoda; Chromadorea; Rhabditida; Toxocaridae
Rfam family: tRNA
About the family: Transfer RNA (tRNA) molecules are approximately 80 nucleotides in length. Their secondary structure includes four short double-helical elements and three loops (D, anti-codon, and T loops).
Source: Rfam by way of RNAcentral